Long non-coding RNA from Prosopis cineraria, 1748 nucleotides. RefSeq lists it as uncharacterized. The record is from RefSeq and is a predicted model, not a curated record. NCBI's taxonomy places the organism in Eukaryota, Viridiplantae, Streptophyta, Magnoliopsida, Fabales, Fabaceae. The transcript has 3 exons.
UUAGAAUACUCCUUUCUCGCCACCGUCGAGCCCUUCUUCCUCACCUCCGACUUCUUCUCCUCAUCGUUGCCAUGCCUCUUGCUUCACGUGUUCAUCUGUGCUGGUCGUCUGUUUUCUGUCUUGUGCUAAGCUGAAUCUCUGCUCUUUUCUUUGCUGUUCUGUGGCUCAAAGAGGUGCACUCAUGCGUGUAUGUUCAGCUUUUCUUUUCUUUCUCUCAAUAGUUGGAAGUCUAUGUGUGUAUGGUAAUCCAAUUUGAGGUUUGCUUGCUAAAAUUUUAUGUCUUCUUCCUUCCUCGGUUCUGCUCUGUUUGGGGGCUAAUGAAGGUGGCGUAUGCAUGCAUAUUCAGCCUUAGUUUUUCUUUUUCCUCAGCUGCUAGGCACCGUGUGUGUGUGUGUGUGUGUGUGUGUGUAGAGAAAGCUCAAGUCUUUAUGCACACACACACACACGCUGAUUCUGCUUCUUCUUCACGUGGAGCGGCUGGGUUGAACUCCUCUUUUAUCUUUUGGUGUAGUCUAUGAACUAAGGAGAGGCUGUUAUUUCUGCUCUUCUAUUCAAGGCUCAAGUCAUUGCCCAGCUUCCACCACGAUUAAUCAGAUUAGGUGGAUCCAAAUGUGAUUCAAUGGAACCUCAUUUAUCAAAUACAGAGAUAUGGAAUUUGGUUGCUUCAUGUGACCAUGAGGUAUUUUUGUCUACUUUGAAUCUAUCCAAUGAUUUAUGUGUAUUUUUUAACUAUAUAUAUAUAAUAUAAUUAAUUCUUUAUUUUAGUAUUGUCAGCGAACUAAAUGCGUAAAUACCUAACGUGAAAUUGUGAAUAUAACAAUUUAGUAAUGUUGUAGCCGGAAUAUCUUCCCCAAAGAUUUUCUUGCAAUCAUACCAGGAUGUAAAAUGCCAUAAUGGUUUCCAAAUGAAGAAUAUUAUCUUUUGGGUGAUUAUGGAAAGAAAUACUGAGAUAAAAGUAGACAUACCUCAAAAUUUCCGUACAAGUGAAUGGUUCGGAAAAGUUGUAUGCCUCCAAUGUGUCUCAUGUCGGGGGGUGAGAUCUGGUGGAAUAGUAAAAGUGCAAAAGAUGAUAUCAUCAUAUAUGCAAAGACUUGGCACAUUCUAUUUACUUUGGGGGUGAUAUGACUCCACACUUGUGCAUGACGGUGUUGGAAUUAAAUGAAAAAAAGUAUGUUGGCAACAUCUAACACCUCAUAACACAACUCUCUUCACAUUUUACUUAAUUAUGCUAAUUCCAUUAGAAUAUUGGGAUGUGGGUGGCGAGUGUCAUGUUAAAAAGACAUGCAAGAGUGGUGCCAUCUCAAUCAUUUGACCCAACCAAAACUGACUACUCCUGAUGUGAUCAAGCUUUCAUGGUCCCUCCUUGACGAAGUAGCUGGAAUAGUACUGUAUGACGCACGAAGAAGAGAGAAAAAGACAAUAACAGGUGAUGACAUGCAAGAGUUAUGAAUUUGAAGCUAUCCACUGUUAAUUAAUUCUAAGAGCUAGGUGAGUACGUUUGUCUCUUACUAUUAUCAAAUAGGAUAAAUAGUUGCUCUAAUUAAUUCUGAAAAUAAUUGAGGCCUGAGGGAUAGAAGAGCUCGAGUUGGUAAAGCAAGCAAUUGGAAGGAGGGAGUGCAGUUUCACAAAGAAAGGAGGGACUUGCAUUUGUAAUUAACAUUCACCAGAUUAGUAUGUGAACACAUCUACUCUGGAAUUUCAGGCGGCUUCCAUGAGAUUGCUGCAAGUGGAUGGAUUCCAAUUUCAGU